Molecule: long non-coding RNA, 479 nt
Organism: Lingula anatina
Lineage: Eukaryota; Metazoa; Brachiopoda; Lingulata; Lingulida; Lingulidae
Source: RefSeq, a predicted model, not a curated record
CUUAUUUCUCAACAAGAUAAUUGGUUUCUAUGUACCCCUGUUACUGCAGCCUGCUCACAUAUUUGUAUAUCUGGGUGGACGGCUGGGAUUAAGAACCGAUUAAGGGAUGGAGUGCGAAGUUUCAUCAACAGUGAUAGAAAUAUCAGUGUAAAUUGACAGCUUUGGUUGCUAAAUAUAAUCCCUGUUGGUCAGUAGUGUGUGUACAACAGUGGUCAGAAAUUGUUCCGUAGCCGUGGGGUCAGUCACGAAGUUUGACAGCUGGUCAUUUACAAACACGUGAUUGACAGCUGACUGGACAGUCCUGGAGCAGUUAAAUGAUUUGCAGUUUCCCAUCGAUGUUGAUUCUGCCGAGCAAGAUCACGACUUUUUGGAUCGAGAUUCCAUCCAGUCUUUGUUCAGGCGAUUAAACAUUCUGAACAAAUGUGCCAGUAUGAAGAUUGAAACACCACCUCGGCAGACGGUAAGUUCAGUGCGAGAUG